UGGGGAAUUUUGCACAAUGGGGGAAACCCUGAUGCAGCGACGCCGCGUGAUUUAGAAGGCCUUCGGGUUGUAAAAAUCUUUUCUAUGGGAAUAAAAUGACAGUACCAUAGGAAUAAGGACCUGCUAAUUACGUGCCAGCAGCCGCGGUAAUACGUAAGGUCCGAGCGUUGUCCGGAAUCAUUGGGCGUAAAGGGUACGUAGGCGGGUAAGCAAGUUAGAAGUGAAAUCCUAUAGCUCAACUAUAGUAAGCUUUUAAAACUGCUCAUCUUGAGGUAUGGAAGGGAAAGUGGAAUUCCUAGUGGAGCGGUGAAAUGCGCAGAUAUUAGGAGGAAUACCGGUGGCGAAGGCGACUUUCUGGCCAUAACCUGACGCUGAGGUACGAAAGCGUGGGUAGAAAACAGG
RNAcentral lists this ribosomal RNA (402 nucleotides) under bacterium. Its description in RNAcentral is "partial 16S ribosomal RNA". It matches the Rfam family "Bacterial small subunit ribosomal RNA", at positions 355 to 776 of the family's 1533-position model. The record is from RNAcentral.